This 505-nucleotide ribosomal RNA is filed under the name Sharphydrus sp. MNCN-AI160. Its description in RNAcentral is "partial 16S ribosomal RNA". The stretch from base 382 to 505 matches the Rfam family "Bacterial large subunit ribosomal RNA", at positions 2473 to 2597 of the family's 2925-position model. The record is from RNAcentral. Lineage: Eukaryota; Metazoa; Arthropoda; Insecta; Coleoptera; Dytiscidae.
GUCCUUUAGGGAAGAAUUUAAGGUUUAACCUGCCCAUUGAUUAUUUUAACGGCCGCAGUAUUUUAACUGUGCAAAGGUAGCAUAAUCAUUAGUUUUUUAAUUGAAAGCUUGUAUGAAUGGUUGGACGAGAUAUAAACUGUCUUUAGAUUAUAGAUAGAAUUUAAUUUUUAAGUUAAAAAGCUUAAAUUUUUUUAAAAGACGAGAAGACCCUAUAGAUCUUUAUAUUUAUUAAUUAUAGUUUUUAAGGAUUAAUAAUUUUUAUAUUAAAAUAAGUAUUUUAUUGGGGUAAUAGAGAGAUUUAUAAAAUUCUUUUAUAUUUUGACAUUGAUUAGUGAAUUUUUUGAUCCAAUAUUAUUGAUUAUAAGAUUAAGUUACCUUAGGGAUAACAGCGUAAUUUUUUUUGAGAGUUCUUAUCGAUAAAAAAGUUUGCGACCUCGAUGUUGGAUUAAAAUUUAUUUUAGGUGUAGUAGUUUAAAAUUUUAGUCUGUUCGACUAUUAAAAUUUU